CAGGUGCAGUAUUCGUGCCGAAACUCGGCCACAUCGGGCCUUACCCUCUCUCGCGCCUCCCUCAGUGCCUCCCGACACCGCAGCCGCACGUGGCAUCAACAACAAGCGCAGACGCGUGUGCGUUUUCCCUCUUUACGUUUGGCGAGAGCGAGCGCUGCACCGAUCACGGCGCUCACAAAGAGAAGGCGAGGCGAGGCCAACAACGAAGAGCCGUGAGGGAGACUCCCGCACGUUGGCCGUCGAUGCCGACGCCUCCCCAUUCCCCGCUCCACGCACCGCCUCUUCCUCGGUACCGGUAUCAUCCCAAGACAGGGGUAUGGCGGAAGGAGCGGGUGCCGGAGGAUGGCGCUUGUGCGGGCACUACUACCGACACCACCGCAGCGAUCGCAUCACCAGCGUCCGGGCCGACGCCGAGCGAGCCCUUCGAGAGCUCCUAUGACUACUUCUUGCGAUCUUUGCGCCCACCGGUUCACAGGAUUCCGGCUGCGAAGCGCGAGGAGCUGUUUCGUGAGCGCACCAAUGCGAAGCUGCGCCAGUUCGAGAUGCACCUCCUACCGAAAGCAGCGACUGUGACGAAGCGCAACAUGCAUGGCUUGAUCACUGGCGAUGAUUGCAGUAUGACAAAAACGUUGGAGCCAUCGGCGCAGCUGCACCCUCUUGUGGGCUACGCGUCCGCUGUUUCCCUUCCGACGGUGUACUCGGCUCUCGUAAAGGUCACGGGCCGCGUGUUGUCGUUUGCUGCCGCAGGAGAGGAGGACCGGCUCAGCCGAGAGGGCUUCCGCGAACUGCUCGCGCUCAUCGGACCUGCGGAGGUGCUCAGUACCAAGUACGCUGACACGAUGUUUACCUCGCUGCCGUCGUACAAUGCCGAUAGCGACACCACAGAGGCGUUGGCGAUUUUCACUCUGUUGAUCGAGCACCGUCACCACCCUCGGCUGAACUCCAACGUGGAGGCGCUGUUCGGGGCCUUUGACACGGACGUCAAGGGUGUCGUGCCUGCAGAGGCUCUUUACCCGGACGUACUGGCGGCCUGGGCCGUGCAGCGCACCUAUGGCAAUCUACGCGACCAGUGGCAGCGUUUCGCCGCUGUCAUUAGUAUGGAGAGCGAGAGGAGCGCGGAUGCGUUUCCACUUCUGCCUCCUUUGGCUUCACGUACCGCUAUCCGCGCAGCGUUGUGCAGCGCUGCCGCCAUCUACACCGCGGCCUGCUCGCUAGACCUCGACGGCAGCUCUCUGUAGUACACACCCUUUCACGCGAGCGAGGAGUGAAGAGGUGUGGGUGUGUAGUAGCUCUUCGAGAGAAAGGGGGACAUGCAUUGCGACCAGAAAGCGCGCUGUUAAAUGCGCAUGCGUACCCCCCCCCGACACCUCUCCUCUUCUUUUGCCUGCCAUGUACAUCAGCCUCCUCCUCUCCUUCCUUUUUUGUUUUCUUCUUUGCCUGCACCUUAUUCACCUGCUCACUUCAUUGGUGUGAUGCGCACGUUUCUUCUU
RNAcentral lists this unclassified non-coding RNA (1490 nucleotides) under Leishmania donovani. RNAcentral describes it as "gene:LdHU3.21.2390(CDS-product:hypothetical_prote in_conserved)". The record is from RNAcentral. Lineage: Eukaryota; Euglenozoa; Kinetoplastea; Trypanosomatida; Trypanosomatidae.